UAUAAUAAAUUGUUUUGAUUAAAUUUUAUAUGAAAGUCAAUUAUAAAGUUUAAAUAUAUUGGCGGUGUUUAAAAUUUUCUGAGAAUCUUGCUUAUUUAAUAUGAUAUUACACAAUUUAUUCUUUCCUUAAUUUUUGUUUGGUUUAUGUAUUGCUGUUUAAUUUAUUAUUUGAUAAAAUUAAUAUAAAUAGAAAUAGGUUUUAUGAAAAAAGAAUUAAAAAUUUCAAGUCAAGAUGUAGUUUUAUUAAGGAAUAAGUGAGUUGCUUUUAUUUAGAAAAAUUGAAUUAAAUUUAUUAGAUUGAAAUAAAUUUAAAUGUAGAAGGAUUAGGAAGUAAAAAGAAAUUAGUAAGUUCUUUUGAUGAAUUUUAUAAACAUGU
RNAcentral lists this ribosomal RNA (376 nucleotides) under Sotanostenochrus mitchelli. RNAcentral's name for it is "partial small subunit ribosomal RNA". Lineage: Eukaryota; Metazoa; Arthropoda; Arachnida; Schizomida; Hubbardiidae. The record is from RNAcentral.